CGGAACGUAGCGCAGCCUGGUAGCGCACUAUUCUGGGGGGAUAGGGGUCGUGGGUUCGAAUCCCGCCGUUCCGACCA
Molecule: transfer RNA, 77 nt
Filed under: Alphaproteobacteria bacterium
Lineage: Bacteria; Pseudomonadati; Pseudomonadota; Alphaproteobacteria
Also listed under: 2 other names
Description: tRNA-Pro
Rfam family: tRNA
About the family: Transfer RNA (tRNA) molecules are approximately 80 nucleotides in length. Their secondary structure includes four short double-helical elements and three loops (D, anti-codon, and T loops). Further hydrogen bonds mediate the characteristic L-shaped molecular structure. tRNAs have two regions of fundamental functional importance: the anti-codon, which is responsible for specific mRNA codon recognition, and the 3' end, to which the tRNAs corresponding amino acid is attached (by aminoacyl-tRNA synthetases). tRNAs cope with the degeneracy of the genetic code in two manners: having more than one tRNA (with a specific anti-codon) for a particular amino acid; and 'wobble' base-pairing, i.e. permitting non-standard base-pairing at the 3rd anti-codon position.
Source: RNAcentral